GUUCAGGACAGGUAGAAAGGAUG
This 23-nucleotide non-coding RNA is filed under the name Cricetulus griseus (Chinese hamster). The record is from RNAcentral. Lineage: Eukaryota; Metazoa; Chordata; Mammalia; Rodentia; Cricetidae.